UAAGAAAGAAGGAAAAGCAUUGUUUGUU
Molecule: non-coding RNA, 28 nt
Filed under: Rattus norvegicus (Norway rat)
Lineage: Eukaryota; Metazoa; Chordata; Mammalia; Rodentia; Muridae
Source: RNAcentral